UUGCUCAAGUCUCAAAUACCAGAGCAAAGCAAGACAACAAAUAUUUGCCUUAAACGUAUUGAAUAGCAUAAUCGAAACAAGUUUAACCAAAUUAUAUAAUUGCUGUCACAUAUCAUCAUAGUGAGCACAGUUAUGUUUCAAAUGGCUUUUAACUGGUUUUCAUAUUUGUGGCCGGUAAUUAUCAUGCAAAAGUUCACAAGCGACCAGGAACAUGUAAGAGGCAAAAGUAAAAAGUAAAACAAAACAAAGCAAAAAUUACGAGCACUUUGGGUGCUUACAGAUAUGGCGAAAACGACUUCUACGCAGACAAUAAAA
Molecule: long non-coding RNA, 315 nt
Organism: Drosophila arizonae
Lineage: Eukaryota; Metazoa; Arthropoda; Insecta; Diptera; Drosophilidae
Source: RefSeq, a predicted model, not a curated record